AAAAGUUUUAUAUUUAGUAAUAAAUAGUCACAAAGAUUAGCAUUAUUAUAAUAUUUAUUAUUUAUUUAUAAAAAAUAAUUAUUGAAAUUCUGAUUUUGUACUUAUGAAUUUAAAAAAAAAAUAAAGGCUAAAUUACAAAAAACCCCUCUUUCAAAACCCGCUUUUUCACUUUCCCCCCCUGUCAUUUAAAAAUCUAUACUUUGCCCCCUUGUAAAAUAAAAAAUGUGCACUCUUCUUGUUGCUUCGCUUCCUCCGCCUCGCCGCCGCCUCGUCGCCUCGCCUUCAUCCACUGCCUCGCCCUCGCCCACAUCUUCAUCUGCGUCCAUAACCACCCCAUUGCCUUCCUCCGUCGCCUCGACUUCGCCCUUGUUGCCGUUGCCACCACUCCAUCCACCCCCACCUCAAUUUCCUCUAUACUGUCGCCGAAAUCGAGGUGCGACGAGGCUGUAGGAGAAGAAGCGGAGCAUGUGGAGAAGAAAAUGGAGAGAAAUCGUAGCCGAUCGAGAGGCAAACCACGGCCGAUCGAGGCCGCGGAUAAGAAGGAUGAGGGAGAAGACGAAAAUGACAGAGGGCAAAAUAGUCAUUUUUCACACCGUACCCUCCCUGUGCAUAUUUUUUAUUUUAUAAGGGGUCAAAGUGUAGGUUUUUAAAUGACAGAGAGUGAAAGUGAAAAAACGGAUUUUGAUAGGAGGGUUUUAUGUAAUUUAGCCAAAAAUAAAUGACCAAUCACUUAAUAUUCUCAUAGUACAAGAGUUCGUACCCUCCUAAACUAAAAGAGUUCUGCCCAAAAAACAUAAUUUGUUGGAUAUUAAAAUAAGGCUCUAUUUAGAAUUGUACAAAGACUAUAUUAUUACGUUUUACAUAUUAUAAUAAAUCAUGUAUGAUAUAGAUUUUAUAAUUGUAUUGGAGAUCGAAUAAAUAUAUUUUUAUAUACUAACAUCUCAACUUCAUUUUAUAA
This 958-nucleotide long non-coding RNA is filed under the name Ananas comosus (pineapple). RNAcentral describes it as "long non-coding RNA (ACOM_LNC015356)". Lineage: Eukaryota; Viridiplantae; Streptophyta; Magnoliopsida; Poales; Bromeliaceae. The record is from RNAcentral.